UCAUAAUAAAACUAAAAAAAAUUUAAAAAUAAAUUAUAUCUAAAAAAGAUAUUUAUUAUUUAUUAAAUAAAAAAAAUUACAUUACAAAUUUGAAUUCAUAAAAAAAAAUCCCGUACGAAUGCACGGGGUAAAAUCUAGUUUAGGUUUAAAUAUGUUUAAAACUUUUUAAUUAGAGAGAUGUACGAUUUUAACUUUCAAAUUAGGGGGAUUUAGAUCGAGGUUGAAAGUUUGGGUGGAUAUGUUACUAUAUGGUACUUCAGAGGGGGAAAUACGUCGUUUUUCCUAAAAGUUAAGACAUCAUCCACGUGUCAACCUAAGAUCUCAUGCAAGCAAACUCAUCUUCUACUUCGGGAUAUCCGCAGCUGAAAAUCCUCUGCCACCCAAAACAGCCGUGGAACCACCUUAUGACGAGCUAAGCUUGCCAAGAGAAGUGCACCUCCAUGAAACUUGAUCGAUCAGUUCAGAAAUUUUCACUUCUUCGUAAAAUCACCACCACCAAUCAUCACAAACUCAAGACACAUAUCACCCUUUGCCUUAAAAGCAUUUUUUAAUAGGGGACCCAAAGAAAUCAAAAGAUCCCAGCCAAAAGAGGAUGAUACCAAAGUUGAAGAAUAAGAAUUCCAACACUUACCACCAGAUCUUACAUCGCCGCCUCAUCGAUUAGAAGAACCCAUCCACAGAGGAGAUAAGACUAAAAUUAUCCAAACAAACCGGAAAAUCCUUUACUUUAAAACUAUGAUUCUUCUACCAUUUUGAGAUCCUUCAUUCCACUAAAGAUUAGUGAAGGAUUUUAUUCACAUAAGUAAAAAAAUCAAUGACUAAAGAUAGAAAAAGAAUUCAAUAGAUGGAUGAGAAAAGAUCCAAUCGAGUCAGAAUUUAUUAUCCGUUAAAACGGAAGGUAAAAAAAGCCAAAAAGAAAGUUUUGAUGAUAAGUUUUGAUGAUGAUCUAAUUGUUAAUAAUUUAAUACAAAAAGGGUCUUUAAUAUAUAUAUAUAUAUAUAUACAUUUUUUUAGUUAU
Molecule: long non-coding RNA, 1018 nt
Filed under: Eutrema salsugineum
Lineage: Eukaryota; Viridiplantae; Streptophyta; Magnoliopsida; Brassicales; Brassicaceae
Description: long non-coding RNA (ESAL_LNC001199)
Source: RNAcentral